RNAcentral lists this long non-coding RNA (1100 nucleotides) under Cicer arietinum (chickpea). RNAcentral's name for it is "long non-coding RNA (CARI_LNC002829)". The record is from RNAcentral. Lineage: Eukaryota; Viridiplantae; Streptophyta; Magnoliopsida; Fabales; Fabaceae.
AAAAACACACAAUUUAACUAUUUAAUUUAAUAAUCAAAAGACAAGAAAUAAAUAGAGAUAAGAGAAGAGAUAUCAGACAGAGAUAUAUCUUGGUUCACCCAACCCGAGUUACGUCUAAUUCUCACAACCGUAUGAUUCUUCACUAAGUGUUCAAAAUGGAGAACUUCUUGAUUUUUACACCACCAGUCCAGAUCAAUCUUGAUCUGUUAUAAUCUUCACCUUUCAACCUAGAAAGGAUUUUUACAAUCACCUUUCAACCUUAAAAGAAUUUUUACAAACACACUCAAUCUAACAUAAAAGAUAGACUUGAGUUACAAAUGAUGUGUAUGAUAAAAAUGUUUGAGAUUUUGAAACUUCUCAACACUUGUCUGAGAUAAAUGAAAGACAAACUCAGUAAAUAGUGAUCCAAAUAUAUAGUAAAAAGAGUUGGAGUUUGCUUGAAGAGUUAGCACAACUUCAUAACACAAGAAAUUGGAGUUGCACUAAACGGUCUAAACUCAACUCGCUAGAAAACGCAGUCCAUUGGAGUUGGUCGCCGGAAUCUAGCAACCGUGGACACACAAUCAGAUGAUUGUAUAAACAACAUUAAAGAUAUAAGACAACAACUCAAAGCUCAAAGUGAAUCCCAACGCAACUCUCACAUGGAUAUGCUUGCUUCUGUUCAAUCCAUUAUUCCCAAUCUCGUUUCUUCUUUUGACCUGUCGCUCAAAGUUCUUUCUUCGUGAGAUUUAUUAAUUUUCUGAAUUUGUUCAUUUUUUAUGUGAAGGAAUGCAGCGAUGUUGAUGAUUGAAUUGAUCUGUUGAUGUAGUGAAUCAGAGUGUUAACAACGGUUUUACUAUUUGAUUUUUUGUAUGGUGAAUCUGUGUUUAUGCUUUUUGGAGUUUUACUUUGAUUUUUGAUGUAAGGUUGGAUAUGCAAGAGUAUCGAUGUUAAAAUUUUAAUUAUAAUGAAUACAGGAGGUAGCUUGAUAUUGUUCUUCAUGGUGUCUUGGUGAUUGUUUCUUAGGACAUAUUUUGAGAUGAGAAGAGAGUGGGAUUUGUGCAAUGAAAGGGAGAGGAAAGUGAUGAGAUGUGGAGCAUAGGAUUUAGAUAGAUGAUUUU